This 239-nucleotide ribosomal RNA is filed under the name uncultured bacterium. RNAcentral's name for it is "partial 16S ribosomal RNA". It matches the Rfam family "Bacterial small subunit ribosomal RNA", at positions 100 to 334 of the family's 1533-position model. The record is from RNAcentral.
CCGGCACGGGUGAGUAACACGUAUCCAACCUGCCGUCUACUCUUGGCCAGCCUUCUGAAAGGAAGAUUAAUCCAGGAUGGCAUCAUGAGUUCACAUGUCCGCAUGAUUAAAGGUAUUUUCCGGUAGACGAUGGGGAUGCGUUCCAUUAGAUAGUAGGCGGGGUAACGGCCCACCUAGGCAACGAUCAGUAGGGGUUCUGAGAGGAAGGUCCCCCACAUUGGAACUGAGACACGGUCCAA